Molecule: long non-coding RNA, 1956 nt
Filed under: Cervus hanglu yarkandensis (Yarkand deer)
Lineage: Eukaryota; Metazoa; Chordata; Mammalia; Artiodactyla; Cervidae
Description: lncRNA (ENSCHYG00000021911.1)
Source: RNAcentral
CAUGGUCGGGGCGCGGCGGGCGGCGGGCGGCGAGAGGCUGCUGGCCGGGCGGGCGGCGCGGAUUUGGGCCGGAGGCGGGGGCCGGGGCGCGCCGGGCUGCGGUCUCGGGAGCUGUCGGCCGGGGCGGCUGCCGUCGGGCUGGAGGAGGCGGCCUGGCUUCUUCCCUUUCAUGGCCUGCUCCUGGGGCCUGGCCUGGUGUGCGGCUGCUGUUUAUACCUGCUGAAGUGCUUUCUCUGUUUGCAUUGGCGCGGCCACCUUACACGCUAGAGCCCCGAGCUGUUCAUGAGGUCUGUCCCAGAGCUUUGAAACCUAUGAGCUGGCGGCUGGGGCGAGAGCAUGUCUCUCUCAAUUUUUGGGUGAACUCCAUGUUUUUUCCCAGAGCUUAGAUCACUGUCCGCAAUCCAGGCUUGCUAGACAGAAUGUAACUGUGACUGCUGGAGACAUCCUGAACUUUUAAGGGCAAAAGGCGGAGGGGGAAGGGAGAGAAGAAAAAGCUCAAGGUCAACUUGACAGCUUGAGAGUGAACAUUUUUAUAUCUGGUAAACAAAGAUUUUUACGGAACUGGAAAACUUUAUCACCAAGGAAGGAAAAAAAAUGUCACUUCGUGUUAUGGCAAGAGGCUGUGUUGUUCCAGAGUUCCCAAUUCCAUCCCAAGUCAUGUUUGAGACCAGACCAGAUUAAUCAGUGGUUGUGGCAGGGGUGUUAGUAGGAGUGAUGUAAUUUUUGUAGAAAUUUACCUCUCUCCCUGGUUCUUUCAUUGGUCCCUAAUGACUUUUAGAAGAUGUAUCUUCUUCAAAAGUGGCAAAAUUAGGAAAAUUCUGACCCCUGUUUGUCCUUGCCCACCAAUCUUGGCUUUUCCUUCCCUGUGCCCUUGUUUGUCAUAUUAGGAAUAUCCCAACAGAUUUUUUGGCUAAGAUUUCUCCCCCUCUUCUCUUUCCAUGGGAAGUCUUGGUUCGUGGGAGAAAUUUUAUUUUGGUUAUAUAAGCUUGUGAAGAGGAGGAAGUGGCAACCCACUCCAGUAUUCUUGCCUGUAAAAUCCCACAGACAGAGGAGCCUGGCAGACUACUGUCCAUGGGGUUUCAAAGAGCCAGACAUGACUAGGCACAUAUAAGCCUGAGUGUGGCUAGAAUUGUAUAUUUUCCUUCUAUUUGUGUGUGUGUGUGUGUGUGUGUGUGUGUGUGUGUGUGAAUGAGCAUGAUAUAGAUGUAUAAAGGACAUCAUAUAUGAUAAACUAGUAAAUUAUUAAAGUGUUUUGCAGUAAAGUAUAACAAAUCCAAAUUAAAAAGUUGACACUUGGAAGAAUUGAAGUUUAAGGCUGAAUAUGAUGACUUCCAAGGUUCAUAGCAACUUUGUUUAUAGGAAAACAUAAGAGAGCCCUUGUUAUACCCUCUUCCCCACCUCCGACCCCCUAUGAAGUACAAGGUCUGUGCUUUUAUAAAUAUGUGAAGAAUUUCUUCUGUAAUGUUUGUCUGUGAAGAAUAUAAAAAUGCCUUUGAAUGGGGUAAAUGCCGAUCUUAUUUCACUGAGCCAAGGAGGAGGAAAAAAGCCUACUCUUUCUUGGUUUCCACCUAGAGAGAUGCUAGUGAGAAGUGAAUAAGCUCUCCUAGACUCUUCGAGAUAGUGUAUUUAUUCUUGGGUCCAGCUCAAUGGUCUUCCAUCUUACAGUGACAGCCUCUUUCCACCCCCUUCUUCAUAUUUCAUUCCCCAACCUGAUUCAUGCUGUUUGCCUGAUAAGGCUGAACAAUAUCUAAACUGAAUGUCUGACCUUGCCUGGAAGUAAUGCCAUGGGAGACUUACAUUAAUUUUAAUGUUAUAUAGCUUUUCCAACAUAUGGGAUGGCUUUGUUUGUCAUUCAAGAGAUUUAUUGAUGCAAUGUGUAUCCCCUGGUCCUUUCAUGAAAAAAUGUUUAUACCUGUGGGCAUGUCCAGAUGGCAGUGAAUGACUUGCAUUCAUGAG